CUUUUCUUCACAAGAAUCUCACCAAUUCUUCUACAAUUCUCAUCAAUAUCUCCCUUUCCGGAAACGCCAGAAAAUGGAAAGUUAAACCCACGUUUGUCAAGCUCUGAAUCGGUUAAAUUACAAAGAACAUAGGUGGGCAACGUGCCUUGGAAAACCUAGAAAUAGCUGGUGGAUUGAGAAGUGCAAGCUUUAUAUCACAACUCCGAAAACCCGCUUCCCCUAAAACUCGGCUGACAAUCGGGUCAUCCAAAAUGGAUAAUAUAAAAUGCUUCAGUUCAACUUUAAGAGUAGAAAUCGAGAAGUUAGAGGAAUUCUGUUGUUGAAGUUGUUGAUAGAUGUGGAAAGUAUCAGGAUGCCUUCUUUGGUUAGCUUGUGAGCGCUUGAUUGCUGCCAUGAGAGAAUUAGAAAUAGGCGGCUCAUCUAGGGUUUUGGCUGUGGGCAAACGAUCAAGAGAAACGCUGACGCUGAGUUCUAAAGCUCUGAAUUGGAGCCGUGGUGAG
Molecule: unclassified non-coding RNA, 500 nt
Filed under: Hevea brasiliensis (rubber tree)
Lineage: Eukaryota; Viridiplantae; Streptophyta; Magnoliopsida; Malpighiales; Euphorbiaceae
Source: RNAcentral